Molecule: long non-coding RNA, 1101 nt
Organism: Passer domesticus (house sparrow)
Lineage: Eukaryota; Metazoa; Chordata; Aves; Passeriformes; Passeridae
Exons: 4
Source: RefSeq, a predicted model, not a curated record
CCUGGGUUGAGGCUAGACUCUGUUAAAGGCUCCAUGUUUUUCCCUGGCUCUAGCAAAAUGGGAUUUUUAUGUGCAUAGGACACAAAAGGACUAAGGUUCAUCAAGUCUUUGCUCAUGGCCUCAUCAGGAAAUCCAAAGAACAAACUACAGUUCUUUCAAGAGUAGGAAAGACAGAAAGGUCAAGUCUUAUAUAUUUGCAACCCAAGGAGCAGGAGGACUGAGAAGAAAAAAACACAAGUUGCAAGUCAGAGGUAGAUCAUGGUAUUUGUCCUGCAGUUCAAGAGUUAUCACACAGCACUUUCUUCUACAUGAAGCUAGGACAUUUUAGGCAGAAAUCCCCAGGUUUUACCAGAGGAAAACAUUCCAGAAAUAAAAGAAAAUGUGAAAUGUUCUAAAAAAGAAGGAGUCUGAACUGUUCUUCCUGUUCUGCUUGGCUUGCCAAAUACAAUAAUGCACAAGGUUUUCUGCUGUGUCAAGCAUUUAGUCCUGGUUUCAGACUGCAGUAAAUAAGUGAAGUCAAAUCCUUGCACUAAAGAGACAAAAACUAGAAGGGGAAAUACACCAUUCAUGUAUAUGAAUGAGAAAGGCAGAACUGAGUUUCCAGGAAUCUUCCAGGUACUCAGCUUUCUAAUCUAAAACUUUAAUUAUAGACUAUAAAAGGAAGCUUUAUAAUAAUUUCUAUCUUGUGAUGCAUUCUGAUUUUCUUACUCAAUGAAACUUGCUCCUAAUUUCACAUGAAGCCUCCACAGAGGCAUGGAAAUGCUAUUAAUCAUAUAUAUCAGAGCCCAAGAUUUUUCAGAGUGACAGUGCCUGCAUAGCAUUUAUAGAUAUUGUUUCUGUUUUGCUGCUAAAAGGAACAUAGGGUAGAAAGAAUAGGUUUUCUAAAGAGGUUGCAGGGGGAAAAAAUGGAAUUUUUUUGUUUGCUCAGUCUUGUCCUCAUUCUCUGAAGUGGUGGGAUCACAGCCAGCCCUCUCCAGAAGCUAGGCACCAGUGACCAGCAGACCAGCACUUGUGGUCCUUCCAGCCAUGGUAUCCUGUUACCUUCCUGCUGAAUUGCUGCACUACUCAGAGAUGGGCCAAGAGGACCACAUCUCAACUUCU